AGUCGACGAGAUCUGUGGAAGAGGAUUCGUCCAAUUGAAGCAGAGGACAGUGGCGGACGGGUGAGUAACGCGUGAGGAACCUGCCUUUCAGAGGGGGACAACAGUUGGAAACGACUGCUAAUACCGCAUGACACAUCGGAGUCGCAUGGCUCUGAUGUCAAAGAUUUAUCGCUGAAAGAUGGCCUCGCGUCUGAUUAGCUAGUUGGUGAGGUAACGGCCCACCAAGGCGACGAUCAGUAGCCGGACUGAGAGGUUGAACGGCCACAUUGGGACUGAGAUACGGCCCAGACUCCUACGGGAGGCAGCAGUGGGGAAUAUUGGGCAAUGGGCGCAAGCCUGACCCAGCAACGCCGCGUGAAGGAAGAAGGCUUUCGGGUUGUAAACUUCUUUUGUCAGGGACGAGUAGAAGACGGUACCUGACGAAUAAGCCACGGCUAACUACGUGCCAGCAGCCGCGGUAAUACGUAGGUGGCAAGCGUUGUCCGGAUUUACUGGGUGUAAAGGGCGUGUAGCCGGGAGGGCAAGUCAGAUGUGAAAUCCACGGGCUCAACUCGUGAACUGCAUUUGAAACUACUCUUC
This 579-nucleotide ribosomal RNA is filed under the name uncultured bacterium. Its description in RNAcentral is "bacterial SSU rRNA". It matches the Rfam family "Bacterial small subunit ribosomal RNA", at positions 60 to 641 of the family's 1533-position model. The record is from RNAcentral.